AUGGACCUGCAGGGCUGCAGGCCAUUCAUCUUGAAAAAGAGCUACAUCGGUGUGAAAUUGUUCAGUGAUGAAACCUACUUUAGGAGCUGCCGCUGCUGGGUGAGAAGAGCUUCCAGCUUGAAAGUCUGCUCUCAGAGGAAGAGUCCUGGGGACCUGCAACAUCCAUGUGAAAUCGUGUGUUUCCACGAGAUUGACCUACAGUCCCCUGUCACCAGUAUCACCUGGGAUUCUGCUCACUGUCACAUGUCAUACUCACAGUCAUGAUGAGAUCACUACCCAGCUCUGAGCACCAGGAGGACCUCGGCAUGUCUAAAACCAAUCUUAAGGCCAAGUGCAGAGCCUUAGGGACAGAGUUAGAGAAACAGCUGCAGCCAGAAGCCUGAGCUGCUGAGUGGCUGCUGUGGAAGAAGGCUCAGCAAUGAAGCAAGGAGCAAGGGAACCAGCAAUGAGGAGGAGAGAGAUGCAGGAGCCAGGGAAGUUCCCAGAGCCAUGGAGCACCCAGCAGAGUAUCAGGGAGGCACCGAGGACCCAUGAGCUGACCAUGGCUGGAUGGAAGGCCCUAGGACCAGCACGGCUAAGCCCCAGGGAGCAAUGUCAUGGAAAGCCAGGACUCAUGAAGUAGCAUGACAGUCAAGGGCAUGGGAGGCAGAGAUAGAGCUACUUGCUGAAAACUACAUGUUCAAUGGAGAAAAAUCUCCCGCUCCCAGGAGAGAACUGUCUUGCCACCUGGGAUCCUGAAGCUUCCACCUUGGCACCCCUGAUGCUUAGACGGGGUAGAAGGCUUAUUAAGCAUCUGUAACAGCUUUAGGAUUCCCGUGCAUGAUCUCAGGAGAUUGGACUUCUGGCAGAGACAGUGGACAUCUGGGUAAGUGUUUUCAAUCCUAACGUCAUCCUAACAUAUCUGGAUGGGUGAAAGAAUUCUCUGAGACUCUGAGGGAUGUAAUCUGAGCCUGUGUGAGGGAUCAUCACAGCGAUAGGGAAGAAAAGAGCCAGUCACCUUGACCUACAAAGUGGACCAGUCAGGUGCACUCGCCAAAAACAUGCAGGGAUGCUUGGGGCCAGUGGUGGACUCUGUCUUUCAACAAAGAUAUAACUUAGUCACAUGGACACACCACCUAUAAGGAAAGAUGGGAAAUGCGGUCUAAUGGAGUGUUAUGGACUGAAUGUUUGUGUCCUGGAGUUCCUUUCGUGGCUCAGCGGUUAGUGAACCUGACUGGGGUUGAUGAGGAUGUGGGUUCCAUGCCUGGUGUCAUUCAGCAGGUAAAGGAUCCAGUGUUGCUGUGAGCUGUGGUAUUGGUUGCUGGCGAGGCUCGGAUCCCGUGUUGGGGUGGCUGUGGUGUAGGCAGGCAGCUGCAGCUGUAAUUCAACCCCUUGCCCGGGAGCCUCCUUAUGCCCAUGUGGCCCUUAAAAAAAAAAAAAAAAAAAAAAAGUUUGCGUCCCCUGCAAUAUCCAUAUUUUCACACCCUAAUCCCCACUGCAAUGGUAUUUAGAGGUAGGGCUUUAGGAAGGUAAUUAGGUGUAGAUGAGGUCAUAAGGGUGGAGCACCCAUGAUGGGAAUCAGUAUCUAUAGGGACUUAUAAGGUUCUUAUUUAUUAUUAUUUAUUUUAUUUAUUGUCUUUUUUAGGGCCGCAGCCCCGAGGCCAGGAUCAAACCCACAACCUCAAGGUUCCUUAUCAGAUUCGUUUCUGCUGCACCACUGCAGGAACUCCCAUAAGGUUCUUAAUUAAAGAGGAAGAGACCAGAGUGGGCGAUCCCCUCUCCUCUCCUUUCCUCUCCCUUCUCUCCCCUGCCCCACACCCCUCUUUAUCUGCCUUGAAAGAACACAAUUAGAAGGCAGCCGGGAAGAGAAACCUCACCAAUAAUCAGAAAUGUGGCUCCUUGAGCUCAGACUUCUAGCAUCCAGAAUUGUGAGAAAUAAAUGUCUGCUGCUUAAGCCA
Molecule: long non-coding RNA, 1937 nt
Filed under: Sus scrofa (pig)
Lineage: Eukaryota; Metazoa; Chordata; Mammalia; Artiodactyla; Suidae
Description: lncRNA (ENSSSCG00070024641.1)
Source: RNAcentral